UGAGGGAAGAAAAAGGCAACUGGAAAAGUUUAAAAAGUAUUAAUAUCCUUUUUUGUAAUCUACCACCAUAAGCAAAAAUCACAAGAUCUUUCUCACUCAAGGUUUAUUUCUUAUGGACAAGAAGAAAACAGAACAUCUAGUGAAGACAACUAAAAUUAGAAAACACUAAGGCUACAUGGCAAAGUCACUCCUAGAUCUACAAAUCAUAGAACAUGAUCCAUAAAAAAGAAUAUUAGUUGGAAAGGUCCUUAAACCAGCUACUAGAAUGUAAGCUUCAUGUUUUGUUUGUCUCCAAACUCCAAGAAUUGUUAUCUAUUUUGUUCAUUAGUAGAGCCUCAGUACCUAGAAUAAUGCCUAGCAUAGCACACGGUGAAUGCUCAACAAAUAUUUAUUGAAUGAAUAUUAGAGCUAAGAAAACUGAGGCCUGGAGACUUAAGGCAGCACCAUCCAGUUAGCUGGGGCUGAACUAAGGUUUCAUUUCUCUAGUGUUCUAUCCUCUCUACAAGCUAGAAUAUGAUAAUUUAGAUAAUUUACUUUGGUGGUUGGGGAGUUGGAGGGUUGUUUGGCAGGCAGAGGAAGAGGAAGGAAGGAGCAAAUUGAAAUAUUCUCACAUUUUCCCCCCAACUGUCAGUUUUGCUUAAUUGAUAAGAGCAAAAAAUUAUAAAUAAGACAAUCCCAGCACAGUGCCUAGCACUUAACAAGUAUCUGUUCAAGGAAUGAACCUACUCCAAAACCAUCAUUAUCUCAUGACCAAAGGCAGAAACUAACCUCAGCAUCUGUUUAAUCUUUCUAACUGUCAGAGUGCCCUUUAGAAUUUUCAGUCAUUCCUAAGGCAAAGUUCUUAAUCACCUUCUUCCAGACGGGCACUGAGGGAGAGAGAUGAAUUAAAAGGUGUCCCUGCCCUGGAGGAUCUCUCACUUGAGUAUGCCUAUGGGGGGGGGGGUGGGGGGGGGGUGCAAGGGUGACAAAAACAGAUCAAUAAUGAAUGUGAAACCAGGCUCCAUUAUCAUCUCAGUUUAUUUGCCUCAAGCAGUGAAAAAAUGAAGUUAAAAAAACACAAACGAGCAAAGUUUUAAAAUAACGAGGCAUAUUAGGGUAUAUUAACACUUAAGAAAGGUUCCUUCUCCUGUGCCUUCACAAUAGAUCUUAUUUCCUCUUAAUGUCCUAAAAUAAAAAUAUUCUAAGUUGACUUAUUUGAAUUAUUGAUAUAAAUGAACCAUCAAUGUAUCUUCUCUCAUAUGUGAGACAUUUAAGGAUAAUAUUCCUGAUUCAUUACUCUGCAUACAUGUUGAUAUUUAAAUAUAUAACCACAAGAACAUAUUUAAAUUUAUUUAACUGUCUAUAAAACUGACAGAGCCUGAAAAAAUCUUCAGAGAUAAAUAACAGUAAUUAGAAACUAAAAACACAGUAUUACCCAGGAAGAGAACUUACCCACACAACUAAAAAAGCAAACCUACAGAAGUCUUCAAAAGAACAAAAUCCUCAAGAAGGGAAAACUCCUGCCCCAACUGGCCCACGGAGCCAGAUAGCGCGCCUGCCAACAGCAUCUUAUUGAAUGCAAGUCACUAACUGGACUCACAAAAAGUGAACACCCGAAGGUCAGUGUUGCCAUUUCUCAAACCUGAGUUUCAGGAAGACCCUUCCAAAGAGAUCCCCCACCACAUUCCAAGGAUUCCUCCCCAUAUCUGCUUGUCAAACUAGGAUAAGCAACACCAAAUACACUGGGAAAUAAGCAGACUCCACUCCCGAGUGUGACAAUUCCCGCACAGUGAAGUUACUUAUCGCACCCGGGGCGCAUGGCUCCCGGGAGAACACUCCUCACUCAGCCUCUGCAUCCCAGAGAGCUGGCAAACCGCCCCAAAGCCCCUCCAUCCCAACAGCCUCCCGAAAACUCUACGGCCCGCAGGUAUACCCUGUCCCACUGUUCAAGCCUUCAAAAGCACCGACAAAUCCAGGCCAAGGAGACUAGAGGGGGCAGGGAGACACUCCAAGGCAGGCCGGAAGGUUGCGGUGGGCCCGACGGGGAAGUACAGGGCCACCAGCUGUGGGGAAAACAGGAUGAGAAAGCGAGGUGGGGCGAGUCUGGGUGCGUGCAGGGACUGACAGGUGCAGGGCACCUUAUCGUCCUGGGCAGCACGGGAAGACGGGAACUGGCUUUCUUCACGGAGAGCGAGCAACGAGGCGCCCAGGGCGAGCGGUGCGGAGAGGUUUUCUGGGAACAGGGACUGGCCUCCGAAGGCAGCCGAAAGCCCAGAGCAAAGACCCUGAGAACAUUUUGGUGAAGAUCCCCCGGACGAGCGGUCCACGGCCGUUCCCAGCACCAACACGGGGGGAACCAUCGCACCUGUUCCAGGAUGUCUCCCUGUUAUCCGCUGGGACAGCGAGGAAGUGAAAGUCCACGGGUGGGCGUGAAAGCAAACUCGAGAAGGAAAAAACUAACCGGGGUCUGACCAGGAGGGGGGAAGAGGCUACCCUCGGGAAGGGGCUAGCAGGAGCUUGUUGCUGGAGUCCUCCAGGCAUUGAUCACCCCCAAGAAGACUUGAUAAAAUGAUGCUUUGGACCAUGGACAGCUGAAGAUGAGGCUCUGGAUUUAUAAUCCCCCUAAACGCAAGAUGAUCUUGCAGGGGAGAGCUUAGAUCAUGAACAGCUUUGUCAAUAGCCUGUCUUUCCAUCUUUCUAUCUUGCUCUAACUCCCACUCCCUCUCCCCAACCCACCCUUACGGGAAACCACAGCUACUUUUAUUUCUUUAUUUUCCAACUUUUGGAGGUGACUGUCAUAUCAGCUCUUUAUGAACACUACGUGUCUGUGAUGUCAACAUUUGGAAAUGUAGGAUGAUUAAUUGAAACUAUGAAAAAAAAAAAAAACUGUGGGGAGCUCUCUGAAUAUACAAAGAACCAGUUUAUUUGCGUGAGACUUUGAGAAAGGCCUUCCAAAUAAAUGGUGCUAAGCUACCAAAAAAAAAAACAAAAUGAUACUACAAUUGUAAUGGUAAUCUGGAGCUCAUGCUUCUAAGCUGCUGGUUUCAUAAAUAUAGCCCAUUAUUGUUCAUGUUUGCCCAGGGCAGAAAGAAUAUGUGAGGCUGCACAAUAAUAACAAUUGUGCUACACAAAUAACUGUCCCUGUGCCAGGGACCGAAAAGAACAAGCAGUAAGAGAUUUUUAAAUGCCACACACACCCAGGAUGUGAUAGGACAGUUCAAAAUUGUUGUCAUCGCUAAUCUUUUAGGACAACAGGGUGCCUUGGUAAGAGCCUGAAUUUACAAUGGGGAAGGCCCAGCUUGGUCCAGUCUGGGCUCUGCAACUUCCUGGUUUUGUGACCUUGGACAAGUCACUGAACUAUACCAAGCCAUGGUUUCUUCUCCUAUAAACUGAAGGUAAUAAUAGCACCUACCUGAUAAUACUAUUGUGAUGAUUAAAUGAGGUUUCAUGUGAAAGCAGUUAGCCUGAUACCUGACACACAGCAGAUACUAGAUAAGCAUUAACUCCCUUUUUUCCCCACUGGAGAAUAUUUAGGACUAAGAAGCCAGAAACAAAACAGAAAUCAUUUUUAAAGAUCUUCGCUGGUUUUCCAAAGCCUACCUUAAUGGUUUUUUGAAUAAAGUUUAUUCACUCAUUA
Equus caballus (horse) is the source of this 3616-nucleotide non-coding RNA. The record is from RefSeq and is a predicted model, not a curated record. Lineage: Eukaryota; Metazoa; Chordata; Mammalia; Perissodactyla; Equidae.